RNAcentral lists this ribosomal RNA (446 nucleotides) under uncultured bacterium. RNAcentral describes it as "partial 16S ribosomal RNA". It matches the Rfam family "Bacterial small subunit ribosomal RNA", at positions 329 to 792 of the family's 1533-position model. The record is from RNAcentral.
UUCCAGACUCCUACGGGAGGCAGCAGUGGGGGAUAUUGCACAAUGGGGGGAACCCUGAUGCAGCGACGCCGCGUGGGUGAAGAAGCGCCUCGGCGCGUAAAGCCCUGUCAGCAGGGAAGAAAAUGACGGUACCUGAAGAAGAAGCCCCGGCUAACUACGUGCCAGCAGCCGCGGUAAUACGUAGGGGGCAAGCGUUAUCCGGAUUUACUGGGUGUAAAGGGAGCGUAGACGGCAUGGCAAGUCAGAUGUGAAAGCCCGGGGCUCAACCCCGGGACUGCAUUUGAAACUGUCAGGCUGGAGUGCAGGAGAGGUAAGUGGAAUUCCUAGUGUAGCGGUGAAAUGCGUAGAUAUUAGGAGGAACACCAGUGGCGAAGGCGGUCUGCUGGACAGCAACUGACGCUGAGGCGCGAAAGCGUGGGGAGCAAACAGGAUUAGAUACCCGUGUA